UGGUUUGCCGGAGUAGCAUCAUCAAGAUUCACAUGCAAGAUGCAAGAUGCAAGAUGCAAUUAAGUAGUGAGAAUCUUGAUGAUGCUGCAUUGGCAAUCCA
This 100-nucleotide microRNA precursor is filed under the name Daucus carota subsp. sativus. RNAcentral describes it as "sRNA DCAR_mi00055". It matches the Rfam family "mir-172 microRNA precursor family". From Rfam's summary of the family: mir-172 has been experimentally verified in Arabidopsis thaliana. This family is thought to target mRNAs coding for APETALA2-like transcription factors. The record is from Rfam by way of RNAcentral. Lineage: Eukaryota; Viridiplantae; Streptophyta; Magnoliopsida; Apiales; Apiaceae.